Long non-coding RNA from Dreissena polymorpha, 382 nucleotides. RefSeq lists it as uncharacterized. The record is from RefSeq and is a predicted model, not a curated record. Lineage: Eukaryota; Metazoa; Mollusca; Bivalvia; Myida; Dreissenidae. The transcript has 3 exons.
CAGAAGGCUGAUGGAAUUUGACCAUGGCGAAUAACAGGAUUACGGGUUUACACAUUCUUUUCAUAGUUUCGUUUGCUCGUGGAUUUUCCGGACCGCCACAGUUUGACAGCCCAUGGUUGCCGUUACGGGCCCAAGGUGAGGAACAAUCUCAAGUUGUUGUCUCUCACGGCUCGGAGAGGUUCCCCGCUUGGUGACAUUCAGGUGAAAGUGAUAGACGGAGCAACGGCGGCUUUGUUUUCAAGGCGAUAGGUAACGGCGAGCGAGAUGACGACGGCCCAACUCCCUAUGGCGGGGUCAUUAACAUAUACAACGAACAGGAGGUGGUAGUCAUGGCACCGCAAAGGAAAACCCACCCAUACAUGGGACACGCCGUAUACACUGG